AAAUUCUACUUAAACUACCCCCUG
This 24-nucleotide transfer RNA is filed under the name Lyroderma lyra (Indian false vampire). Its description in RNAcentral is "partial transfer RNA-Pro". Lineage: Eukaryota; Metazoa; Chordata; Mammalia; Chiroptera; Megadermatidae. The record is from RNAcentral.